RNAcentral lists this long non-coding RNA (377 nucleotides) under Mytilus galloprovincialis (Mediterranean mussel). Lineage: Eukaryota; Metazoa; Mollusca; Bivalvia; Mytilida; Mytilidae. The record is from RNAcentral.
UAUGGUCAUAAACCUUGUGUUUAAAUUUCAUAGAUUUCUAUUUACUUAUACUAACGUUAUGGUGCGAAAACCAAGAAAAAUGCUUAUUUGGGUCCCUUUUUGGCCCCUAAUUCCUAAACUGUUGGGACCUAAACUCCCAAAAUCAAUACCAACCUUCCUUUUGUAGUCAUUAACAUUGUGUUUAAAUUUCAUUGAUUUCUAUUCACUUAAACUAAUGUUAUUGUGCGAAAACCAAGAAUAAUGCUUAUUUGGGCCCUUUUUUGGCCCCUAAUUCCUAAACUGUUGAGACCAAAACUCCAAAAUCAAUCCCAACCGUUCUUUUGUGGUCAUAAACCUUGUGUCAAAAUUUCAUAGAUUUCUAUUAACUUAAACUAAAG